This 263-nucleotide unclassified non-coding RNA is filed under the name plant metagenome. RNAcentral's name for it is "partial contains small subunit ribosomal RNA, internal transcribed spacer 1, and 5.8S ribosomal RNA". The record is from RNAcentral.
UUUCCGUAGGUGAACCUGCGGAAGGAUCAUUAUUGAAUAACCGAGGUGCGAGGGCUGUCGCUGACCCGAAAGGUCGUGCACGCCCGAGUGCCCUCACACACAUCCAUCUCACCCCUAUGUGCACCACCGCGUGGGUCCCCCUUUGGCUUGUUCGGAGGGGGGCUUACGUUUUCACACAAACUUUGUAUGCAGUGUAGAAUGUAUUUUUUGUUUUUGCGAUCACGCAAUCAAUACAACUUUCAACAACGGAUCUCUUGGCUCUC